AGCUGGUCCAAAGAUAGUGAGUUAUCUCCAUUAAAUGUUCACAGUUACAGGUCAAGCUCUUUGUUCUACUCUUUUGCCCCUUCUCACUUUUGCACUUGACUGGUCUUUA
Molecule: unclassified non-coding RNA, 109 nt
Organism: Gorilla gorilla gorilla (western lowland gorilla)
Lineage: Eukaryota; Metazoa; Chordata; Mammalia; Primates; Hominidae
Rfam family: Y RNA
About the family: Y RNAs are components of the Ro ribonucleoprotein particle (Ro RNP), in association with Ro60 and La proteins. The Y RNAs and Ro60 and La proteins are well conserved, but the function of the Ro RNP is not known. In humans the RNA component can be one of four small RNAs -- hY1, hY3, hY4 and hY5.
Source: Ensembl